Molecule: transfer RNA, 88 nt
Filed under: Schizocladia ischiensis
Lineage: Eukaryota; Schizocladiophyceae; Schizocladiales; Schizocladiaceae
Description: tRNA-Ser
Rfam family: tRNA
About the family: Transfer RNA (tRNA) molecules are approximately 80 nucleotides in length.
Source: RNAcentral
GGAGAUGUGGCUGAGAGGCUGAAAGCCUUGGUUUGCUAAACCAAUAUACGCUUUUUGUGUAUCAUGGGUUCGAAUCCCAUCAUCUCCA